GAGAGAGAGCGAGAGAGAGAGUAGAGAACAGUAUACAGCGGACAGUUUUCCAGUGAAGGAGGUGUGUCCUCUGUGUCUAUUACAGUGAAGGAGGUGUGGCCUCUGUGUCUAUUCCAGUGAAGGAGGUGUGGCCUCUGUGUCUAUUACAGUGAAGGAGGUGUGGCCCCUGUGUCUAUUACAGUGAAGGAGGUGUGGCCUCUGUGUCUAUUCCAGUGAAGGAGGUGUGGCCCCUGUGUCUAUUACAGUGUAGAAGGUGUGGCCUCUGUGUCUAUUACAGUGAAGGAGGUGUGGCCUCUGUGUCUAUUACAGUGUAGAAGGUGUGGCCUCUGUGUCUAUUACAGUGUAGAAGGUGUGGCCUCUGUGUCUAUUACAGUGAAGGAGGUGUGGCCCCUGUGUCUAUUACAGUGAAGGAGGUGUGGCCUCUGUGUCUAUUCCAGUGAAGGAGGUGUGGCCUCUGUGUCUAUUCCAGUGAAGGAGGUGGGGCCUCUGUGUCUAUUACAGUGAAGGAGGUGUGUCCUCUGUGUCUAUUACAGUGUAGAAGGUGUGGCCUCUGUGUCUAUUCCAGUGUAGAAGGUGUGGCCUCUGUGUCUAUUCCAGUGAAGGAGGUGUGGCCUCUGUGUCUAUUCCAGUGUAGAAGGUGUGGCCACUGCAUUUAGUUUAGAUUUAAACAGCUCUAAAUUUGUAUGAUAUUGAUCGCUGACUAUUUUAAACAUAUUUCCUGCCUUGGAUUGCGGAUCACAGAGAUAAAAGGUGCUUGGGCAGUUUCUAAGGUUUGAAUCUGCAUACUUUAGCAUAUUUUACAUGGCAGUAUUAUUUGCACAGGUCUCACACAGAAUGACUGUGUGCAGAAAUAAUUCAAAUAAAGCUUUAACGAUAAGCUGUUUCGCGCGGUGAGCAGUUUCUCAGGGUGUCACCUCGUGUUAGAGCGUCUCACUGUGUGAAAUGGAUUAAUCUACCUUUCUCUCAGAGGAACACACUGAGCAACAGUCUGUCACCACAAUGCACAAUGCUUACACUGCUCACACGGUAAAGCUCAUUUUAAUCUCAAAAUUGAUACACCUUUAACGAUAACAGCCUUUUAAUUUAAAACACAGACCGGAUUUAGUUUUAUAACACGGCGCUGUUGAAUUCCGGAUUCUGAUUGGUCAGAACCCAUCAUGUGUAUUAUUUUUUGCCUAAUAGAGAGUUUUAGGCCUCAGAGACACUCAGGUUUUCCCAAACACAAUAAUCACAUUCCAGCUAAUUUCAUUAGUGCAGCUAGACACCCCAUUGCAUAUUGAAUGGUUAGCAUAAAGCGCUAGGUCUUAGCUCAACUCUUUAAACCACAAUAAAAACAAAGUCUAAUCUCAGAGUUCAGCGGAGCUCAAUAGUGUGACUCAUUAGCACGCCUGAGCCGAUGGUGAUUAAUGAACCUGGACUGUACGGCUGUGUUUCAUUCGAGCACAGUGGCUCCUUUGUGUCCUUUUGUCCUGCUGAAGGAUUCUCUAUGUGAGUUUCAUAAAGGAACAAAAAGACACACACAUACAAAAAACCCUGACACGUCUUUCCAUUAAUUGAGUGCGUUCGGAGCACCAGAGGAGCGUGGAAGUAGGACAGACAGUCCCCACGUCCCCGAGAGUGUCUGGAGCGCUGCUCACACAGCCAACAAAUAAAAACGCCGUCCGCCGAGGAUCCACAUCUGAGCUCAGUUACAAGACCAGCAGGUUUGUGGAGCAACCGAAGAUGUGUGCGCUGCUCUGCAACGAGAAACAAGGACAACGUUUUGCUGUGGGAAAAAUUCUGAUUGCGUCAUACCACAGUUUGAGCUUUAAUUAGACUCGUUUACAUCAGGAAGAAGAAGACGAAGGACUUUAUGCGGUUUUCAUUAAGCCAUAAAACUACACUGAACAGUACGCAUUCAUCUCAGUGUCCCUCAGAUUGAUGAACUCAUUUUCAUGGAAAUUAAAACUAGAUGCUCUGUGUACAUUCCAGCAUUUAACAGCAUCUGUCAUAGUCUGAGUGAAGGAGGAGUGGUCUCUAUCACAGUCUGAGUGAAGGAGGUGUG
Molecule: long non-coding RNA, 2044 nt
Organism: Ictalurus punctatus (channel catfish)
Lineage: Eukaryota; Metazoa; Chordata; Actinopteri; Siluriformes; Ictaluridae
Source: Ensembl